Patiria miniata (bat star) is the source of this 120-nucleotide small nuclear RNA. RefSeq annotates it as U5 spliceosomal RNA. NCBI's taxonomy places the organism in Eukaryota, Metazoa, Echinodermata, Asteroidea, Valvatida, Asterinidae. The record is from RefSeq and is a predicted model, not a curated record. The transcript has a single exon.
CAACUCAAGCUCAUUUGCAUCACGAAUAACUCUUUCGCCUUUUACUAAAUAUUUCCGUGCAAAUAGGCAAUUUGAUGAGUCUAUAACAAUUUUUUCAAUGGCCGAACGAAAGCUCGGUCU